AUUGAACGCUGGCGGCAGGCCUAACACAUGCAAGUCGAACGGUAACAGGAAGCAGCUUGCUGCUUUGCUGACGAGUGGCGGACGGGUGAGUAAUGUCUGGGAAACUGCCUGAUGGAGGGGGAUAACUACUGGAAACGGUAGCUAAUACCGCAUAACGUCGCAAGACCAAAGAGGGGGACCUUAGGGCCUCUUGCCAUCGGAUGUGCCCAGAUGGGAUUAGCUAGUAGGUGGGGUAACGGCUCACCUAGGCGACGAUCCCUAGCUGGUCUGAGAGGAUGACCAGCCACACUGGAACUGAGACACGGUCCAGACUCCUACGGGAGGCAGCAGUGGGGAAUAUUGCACAAUGGGCGAAAGCCUGAUGCAGCCAUGCCGCGUGUAUGAAGAAGGUCUUCGGGUUGUAAAGUACUUUCAGCUGGGAGGAAGGGAGUAAAGUUAAUACCUUGGCUCAUUGACGUUACCCGCAGAAGAAGCACCGGCUAACUCCGUG
This 490-nucleotide ribosomal RNA is filed under the name uncultured bacterium. RNAcentral's name for it is "partial 16S ribosomal RNA". It matches the Rfam family "Bacterial small subunit ribosomal RNA", at positions 30 to 507 of the family's 1533-position model. The record is from RNAcentral.